RNAcentral lists this ribosomal RNA (856 nucleotides) under Chloroflexi bacterium enrichment culture. RNAcentral describes it as "bacterial SSU rRNA". It matches the Rfam family "Bacterial small subunit ribosomal RNA", at positions 28 to 904 of the family's 1533-position model. The record is from RNAcentral. Lineage: Bacteria; Bacillati; Chloroflexota.
GAUGAACGUUGGCGGCGUGCUAAUACAUGCAAGUCGAACGAAGACUGUAGUAAUACUGCUUAGUGGCGAACGGGUGAGUAACGCGUGGGUGACCUGCCCCGAAGUGUGGGAUAACAGUUCGAAAGGAUUGCUAAUACUGCAUAAUAUCCAAGAGAUUAGACGCUUUUGGAUUAAAGGAGUAAUUCGCUUCGGGAGGGGCCCGCGUCCCAUCAGCUAGUUGGUAAGGUAAUGGCUUACCAAGGCGAUGACGGGUAGGGGACCUGAGAGGGUGGCCCCCCACAAUGGAACUGAAACACGGUCCAUACACCUACGGGUGGCAGCAGUAGGGAAUAUUAGUAAUGGGCGAAAGCCUGAACUAGCAACGCCGCGUGUGCGAAGAAGGCCUUCGGGUUGUAAAGCACUUUUUGAGAGGAUGAGGAAGGACGGUACUCUCAGAAUAAGUCUCGGCUAACUACGUGCCAGCAGCCGCGGUAACACGUAGGAGGCAAACGUUAUCCGGAUUUACUGGGCGUAAAGCGCGUGUAGGUGGUUUGGUAAGUAGGGCGUGAAAGCUCCUGGCUCAACUGGGAGAGGACGUUCUAAACUGCCAAGCUUGAGGAUGGUAGAGGGAGGUGGAAUUCCGGGUGUAGCGGUGGAAUGCGCAGAUAUCCGGAGGAACACCAGUGGCGAAGGCGGCCUCCUGGACCACUCCUGACACUCAGACGCGAAAGCUAGGGUAGCAAACGGGAUUAGAGACCCCGGUAGUCCUAGCCCUAAACGAUGUAGACUUGGCGUCGGUGGUUUAAUCGCCAUCGGUGUCGUAGCUAACGCGUUAAGUCUACCGCCUGGGGACUACGGCCGCAAGGUUAAAACUCAA